AUUGAACGCUGGCGGCAGGCUUAACACAUGCAAGUCGAACGAGUGGCGGACGGGUGAGUAAUGCGUGGGAAUCUCCCUUAUGGAGGGGGAUAACUACGGGAAACGGUAGCUAAUACCGCGUACCAUAGGAUGAGCCCAAGUGGGAUUAGGUAGUUGGUGAGGUAACGGCUCACCAAGGCGACGAUCCCUAGCUGGUCUGAGAGGAUGACCGGCCACACUGGAACGGAGACACGGUCCAGACUCCUACGGGAGGCAGCAGUGGGGAAUAUUGCGCAAUGGGCGCAAGCCUGACGCAGCCAUGCCGCGUGAAUGAAGAAGGCCUUCGGGUUGUAAAGUUCUUUCAGUAGGGAGGCGUUACCUACAGAAGAAGCACCGGCUAACUCCGUGCCAGCAGCCGCGGUAAUAC
RNAcentral lists this ribosomal RNA (406 nucleotides) under uncultured bacterium. RNAcentral describes it as "partial 16S ribosomal RNA". It matches the Rfam family "Bacterial small subunit ribosomal RNA", at positions 30 to 526 of the family's 1533-position model. The record is from RNAcentral.